This 1951-nucleotide long non-coding RNA is filed under the name Xyrichtys novacula (pearly razorfish). Lineage: Eukaryota; Metazoa; Chordata; Actinopteri; Labriformes; Labridae. The record is from RNAcentral.
UUUGGCUUGUUUUGGCUUCCUGAAGAUAAUGCACGGGUAUUAGGUUAUGGGGCUAUGGUAAGGUUUAAGGUUUUUGGCGUUAGGGUUAAAAUCACUGUCCAAAACCUUUGUAGGAUCUCUUUUCCAAGCUUUUGGAGUUAGUUAGACCAAAAAAAAGAAAAAUGAAAAAAAAAUAUUUGGGGUGUUCAGGCUUCCUGAAGGUAAUACCCGGGUAUUAGGUUAUGGGGCUAUGGUUAGGUUUAAGGUUUUGGGCGUUAGGGUUAAAAUCACUGUCCAAAACCUUUGUAGGAUCUCUUUUCCAACCUUUUGGAGUUAGUUAGACCAAAUAAAAAUGAAUAAUGAAAAAAAAGAUUUGGGGUUUUCGGGCUUCCUGAAGGUAAUACCCGGGUAUUAAGAGUUGGGGCUAGGGUAAGGUUUAAGGUUUUGGCGUUAGGGUUUAAAUCACUGUCCAAAACCUUUGUAGGAACUGUUUUCCAACCUUUGGGAGUUAGUUAGACCAAAUAAAAAUGAAAAAUGAAAAAAAAAUAUUUGGGGUGUUUGGGCUUCCUGAAGGUAAUACCCGGGUAUUAAGAUUUGGGGCUAGGGUAAGGUUAAAGGUUUUGGCGUUAGGGUUUAAAUCACUGUCCAAAACGUUUGUAGGAACUCUUUUCCAACCUUUUGGCGUUAGGGUUAAAAUCACUGUCCAAAACCUUUGUAGGAUCUCUUUUCCAACCUUUUGGAGUUAGUUAGACCAAAUAAAAAUGAAAAAUGAAAAAAAAAUAUUUGGGGUUUUCGGGCUUCCUGAAGGUAAUACCCGGGUAUUAAGAGUUGGGGCUAGGGUAAGGUUUAAGGUUUUGGCGUUAGGGUUUAAAUCACUGUCCAAAACCUUUGUAGGAACUGUUUUCCAACCUUUGGGAGUUAGUUAGACCAAAUAAAAAUGAAAAAUGAAAAAAAAAUAUUUGGGGUGUUUGGGCUUCCUGAAGGUAAUACCCGGGUAUUAAGAUUUGGUGCUAGGGUAAGGUUAAAGGUUUUGGCGUUAGGGUUAAAUCACUGUCCAAAACGUUUGUAGGAACUCUUUUCCAACCUUUUGGAGUUAGUUAGACCAAAAAAUAAUGAAAAAUGAAAAAAAUAUUUGGGGUUUUCGGGCUUCCUGAAGGUAAUACCCGGGUAUUAGGUUAUGGGGCUGGGGUAAGGUUUAAGGUUUUUGGCGUUAGGGUUAAAAUCACUGUCCAAAACCUUUGUAGUAACUCUUUUCCAACCUUUUGGAGUUAGUUAGACCAAAAAAAAAUGAAAAAUGAAAAAAAAAUAUUUGGGGUGUUUGGGCUUCCUGAAGGUAAUACCCGGGUAUUAAGAUUUGGGGCUAGGGUAAGGUUUAAGGUUUUGGCGUCAGGGUUUAAAUCACUGUCCAAAACCUUUGUAGGAACUAUUUUCCAAGCUUUUGGAGUUAGUUAGACCAAAAAGAAAUGAAAAAUGAAAAAAAAAUAUUUGUGGUGUUCGGGCUUCCUGAAGAUAAUACACGGGUAUUAGGUUUUGGGGCUAGGGAAAGGUUUAAGGUUUUUGGCGUUAGGGUUAAAAUCACUGUCCAAAACCUUUGUAGGAACUCUUUUCCAACCAUUUGGAGUUAGUUAGACCAAAUAAAAAUGAAAAAUGAAAAAAAAAAUAUUUGGCUUGUUUUGGCUUCCUGAAGAUAAUGCACGGGUAUUAGGUUAUGGGGCUAUGGUAAGGUUUAAGGUUUUUGGCGUUAGGGUUAAAAUCACUGUCCAAAACCUUUGUAGGAUCUCUUUUCCAAGCUUUUGGAGUUAGUUAGACCAAAAAAAAAGAAAAAUGAAAAAAAAAUAUUUGGGGUGUUCGGGCUUCCUGAAGGUAAUACCCGGGUAUUAGGUUAUGGGGCUAUGGUAAGGUUUAAGGUUUUGGGCGUUAGGGUUAAAAUCACUGUCCAAAACCUUUGUAGGAUCUCUUUUCCAACCUUUUG